Molecule: ribosomal RNA, 253 nt
Filed under: uncultured bacterium
Lineage: Bacteria
Description: partial 16S ribosomal RNA
Rfam family: Bacterial small subunit ribosomal RNA
Source: RNAcentral
UACGGAGGGUGCAAGCGUUGUCCGGAAUCACUGGGCGUAAAGGGCGCGUAGGCGGCCUGGUAAGUAGGGGGUGAAAUCCUGCGGCUUAACCGCAGGGCUGCCUUCUAAACUGUCAGGCUUGAGCACGGUAGAGGCAGAUGGAAUUCCCGGUGUAGCGGUGGAAUGCGCAGAUAUCAGGAGGAACACCGGUGGCGAAGGCGGAUCUCUGGGCCAUAACUGACGCUGAGGAGCGAAAGCAUGGGGAGCGAACAGG